Molecule: long non-coding RNA, 2891 nt
Filed under: Homo sapiens (human)
Lineage: Eukaryota; Metazoa; Chordata; Mammalia; Primates; Hominidae
Description: HSALNT0205725
Source: RNAcentral
UGCUCUCUCCUGCCACCCUGUGAAGAAGAUGCCUUGCUUCCCCUUCGCCUUUUGCCAUGAUUGUCCUGUGCUAAGUCCUUGAAAUGUAUUAUCAUACUCCUCAUAAAACAUUUUAAGGUGUUCCAGACACUCUGCUGGGCAUUGGAUGUACAAAGAUCACACAACACAGUGCCUUCUGCAAAUAAUCGCACAGUCCAUUGGAGGAAACAGUCAUUUGAAUAGUCAAUUAUAAAGCAAUGAUAGGGACAUAUGGAGGGCUUUAUGGAAACACGGAUAAUGGGCUCUGUUAUGGGUUGAAUUGUGUCCUCCUCUCAAAGUCAUAUGUUGAAAUCCUAGUCCCCAGUACCCCAGAAUGUCACCUUAUUUGGAAAUGGGGUUUUUCAAGAUGUAAUCAAGUUAAAAUGAAGUUAAUUAUGGUGGGCCCUUAUCCAAUAAGGCUGAUCUCCUUAUAAAAAGGGGAAUUUGGGGGACAGGCACACACUGAGGAGAAGAACAUGAGAAGAUGAAAGGAGAGAUGGGAGUGAUGCUUCUACAAACUGGGAACUCUAAGGAUCACCAGCAAAUCACAAAAGCUAGGUGAGGAGCUUCGAACGGAUUCUUCUUCACAGCUCUCAGAAGGAAACAACCCUGCCAACAACCUUGACCUUGACUUGUACCCUCCAGGACUGUGGGACAUAAAUUUCUGUGGUUUAAGCUAUCUAGUUUUAGGUGCCUUUUAAUGGCAGCUCUAGGAAACUAGUACUGGGUCUUAACUCAGCUUUGGGGAAAGGGAUCAGAGAAGGCUGCCGGGAGGAGAUGACAGAGUGAACUGUAAUAGACAGAGCUGAUUGAAUAGCAAGUUGCCAAGUGAAAGGGUUGGGGAAGGGUGUCAAGGUGGCAUUCCAGGUGGCUAGGGAGGCAACAUGGGCAGUAAAGUAUUGAGGUGAGAAGCAGCUGGUGAGUGAGGAAUUUGGUGAGGUUUGAGAGUGGUCUCAAGUAGGAAGUAGGAAGAGACAGGAUACGCCAAGCACAGGGCUUGGGGAUGUGCACCAGUGCACAAGGCCAACGAAGACAAGUUUCCUGACCCCGUGGAGAGGACACUUACAUCCCACACUGGGAAGCCACAGUGGAGCAACUAACCUCACGUCACUCUCCUGUUCCCAGUCACCACUGAGCUCUGGUGGUUGGACCAGUGACUUAGUUCCACAAACUUGGUGCCUUGAUGGGGAAAAGUCCUUGUUCAGCCAUGAAAGAAGCACCACAUUUCUGGACUGCUCAAGUUCCAUUCUUGGGUACUCGAAGGUCUCACUGCUCUAUCUGGGGUUUCCUUUCUUUCAGAGAAAAUGAUUUCUUCCCCUUUAUCAUUAAGCAAAAACUCCAAGAUGAUGCUAAUUAUAAGGACAUUUAAGCAUCAUUUAAGGUGAUCACAUCCUGAUUCCGGGACAUUUGUGUCUGAAUUUCCUCACAACAGGAAUACUGCCAGUGAGGAGGCUUUCCCUUAGCCAUUACACUUUACAAAAUCUAGCUCAAAAGGUCAGAAGCUGUUCCUGUAAAGGCUGCCUGAUGUUCCGUGCUCUGUCCUCCUUACAGGAUUCAGGGCGCUUUUGUAUAAAAGUUUCCACCUCUGGUAGACAUUUCAAAAGACUCUUGUGAAAAGAAUAUCUGGAAGCAUAUAGCCAGAAAUGCACAGAGAUUUAAUCUGAUUAAUUAAGAAGUUUUUUUAUUUUAAUAUCAACCCAACUUUUAUAUAAUCUUUAAAAAUUCUAGUGCUUCUGGAUCAAAGGUGAGGUUAUUCACCCCAGGAGGAUCUUUAAAUUGAGGAGUAUUUGUAACCUUUUUCUUUUAGAUUUAUUUAAAAUUAAGCCUAAAGUAAAAUGUUAAACACUAAAAUAUAAUGGUUUUUGCCUUCAUAAAAUUUAUUUCAGAGCACAUUUGAAUCAUACAUUAAAUAUCCUGGUUACGAGUACCAUAUGUUUCUUCUGAAAAUGGAAGAAUUGGCUUAUAAUCCAAGUGUCUUCUUAAUUUUGUUUUUUUAAAAAUGACGUGAUUAUAUUCAGAUGAAGAAUGUAUGUAUAUUUAAAGUCUAAUUCUUUGUUCAAAAGAAUUAAAUGGUCCAUACAAAUACAUAGUUUAAGAUAAUUAAGGUUUACCUGUACACUAGAGAAAAGUUAAUGACAAUUAAAUGACAUUCCUGCAACACACUACACUGACAUUUACAUUGAUCAGAUACUUGUUAGGGGAAGCAGAGGUACUUGGUUCUAUGGACAUGUCCCCUCUAAAAUUCAUGUUGAAACUUAAUUCCCAUUGUAUUAAGAGGCGAGACCUUCUGGGAAGUGAUUACCUUAUGAGGGAGGCUCUGCCCUCAAGAAUAAGAUUGGCAACUUUAUAAAAGGGCUGGAGAGGCUGAAUGCAGUGGCUCAUGCUUGUCAUCCCAGAGCUUUGGGAGGCCCAGAGGACCACUUGGGACAAGGAGUUUGAGAUGAGCUUGGGCAACAUAGCAAGACCCCAUCUGUACACAAAAAAUACAAAAUUAGCCAGGUCUGAUGGCAUGUGCCUGUAGCUCCAGGUACUUGGGAAGGCUGAGGUGGAAGGAUCCCUUGAGCCCAGGAGUUUGAGAUUGCAGUGAGCUAUGAUCACACCACUGCAUUUCAGCCUGGGUGAGAGAGUGAGACCCUAUCUCUAAAAAAAUAAAAUAAAAAAAUAAAUAAUAUAAAGGGUGGAGAGAACUAGUGAUCAUUCCUUUUGCCCCUCCACCUUCUGCCAGGUGGGGAUGCUACCAGUAGGAGAGCUGUAAAGGAGCCGGCCCCCACCAGACACUGAACCUGCUGAUGUCUUAUCUUGGACUUUCUAUCCUCUAGAACCAUGAGGAAUAAAUUUUGUUCUUUAUAAAUUACCUAGUCUCAGGUAUUUUG